CAGCCCCUGGAUGCCAGCUGUUAUACUGCACUACUGUACUUUUCAAGAGAAAGAAGAAAAGCUUCACAGUUUCUCUUAUGAAUUCAUCAUGACACUGUUACCAAAACUUCACAAAGAUAGUUCACCAAAAGAAAACUACAGGCUCUGUGGCAACAUGGAUGGACCUUGAAGGGAGCACAUCCCACACCUUGUGCUUUUUCCCGCCCAGUUGCUCAGUGCAUCUUUGAGGAAGGAGCUCUGUCUGGAGAGUUCCUCUCCCUGUCCAAAGAAGUUGUCUUUAGCUUGCUGUGGAGGAGAAAGCAAACGGAAGCAAAUUCCUUUUGUGGGGUGAGUACUUGUCAGGAGCUUCUUCAGGGGAGAUUUGUCUUUCUGCAGAAUAAGGGGUUUUAAGUUGUAGCCUCAUAGUUACUUUGGUGAGAGAGUGUUUCCCCAGGACUGUCAAAUGGGUCCUUGGAGAUGGAUGCCCGGCCCCGGGACUGUGGGAGAGACCCUUUGGGAAGAAUGGCUGUCACUGUGGGAGCUGCUGCUGAUACUGUGUGAAUGCAGGGCGCUGGCCUGGGAAGAGCUCGGCCUCUCCAAAGGCAGUGUGGGAUGAAGGAUGCUCCCACAGGUGCGAGACGCUCUGUGCUCAGACAACAGAGGCAGGAGCCUGCUGACACCUCCCCAGGCAUCUUCCCCCUCAUUCCUCUCAGCCCUGCCUUUAGUCUUUGCCUUCCUUCCCUCUCCCU
Molecule: non-coding RNA, 728 nt
Organism: Delphinapterus leucas (beluga whale)
Lineage: Eukaryota; Metazoa; Chordata; Mammalia; Artiodactyla; Monodontidae
Source: RefSeq, a predicted model, not a curated record